AUUGAACGCUGGCGGCAUGCCUUACACAUGCAAGUCGAACGGCAGCACGGGUGCUUGCCCCUGGUGGCGAGUUGCGCACGUGUGAGUAAUACAUCGUUACAUGUCCUGUUGUGGGGGAUAGCCCGGCGAAAGCCGGUUUAAUACCGCAUACGCUCUACGGGAGACAGCGGGGUAUCUUCGUCCCUCGCUCUUUAGUGUUGGCCGAGGGCGGAUUAGCUAGUUGGUGGGGUAAAGGCCUACCAAGGCGACGAUCAGUAGCUGGUCUGAGAGGAAGACCAGCCACACUGGGACUGAGACACGGUCCAGACUCCUACGGGAGGCAGCAGUGGGGAAUUUUGGACAAUGGGCGAAAGCCUGAUCCAGCAAUGCCGCGUGUGUGAAGAAGGUCUUCGGGUUGUAAAGCACUUUUGUCCGGGAAGAAAUGCUGGGGCUUAAUACGGUCGGGGGAUGACGGUACCGGAAGAAUAAGCACCGGCUAACUACGUG
This 486-nucleotide ribosomal RNA is filed under the name uncultured bacterium. RNAcentral's name for it is "partial 16S ribosomal RNA". It matches the Rfam family "Bacterial small subunit ribosomal RNA", at positions 30 to 507 of the family's 1533-position model. The record is from RNAcentral.